Small nucleolar RNA from Pyrus x bretschneideri (Chinese white pear), 110 nucleotides. RefSeq annotates it as small nucleolar RNA U19. The transcript has a single exon. The record is from RefSeq and is a predicted model, not a curated record. Lineage: Eukaryota; Viridiplantae; Streptophyta; Magnoliopsida; Rosales; Rosaceae.
UAUUGGCUUAGUUAGGAGGCAUAUAUUAGUUCAGUGUAUGCGGUGAGGCCUUUUGAGGGGACUCUUUGUCUCUUCCUCAUCAAUUGUCCUCCAAGCAGCCUCACACAUUC